Molecule: long non-coding RNA, 678 nt
Filed under: Sorghum bicolor (sorghum)
Lineage: Eukaryota; Viridiplantae; Streptophyta; Magnoliopsida; Poales; Poaceae
Description: long non-coding RNA (SBIC_LNC002025)
Source: RNAcentral
ACCCACAUUCAAGCUUAAUGUCUAUCACAUAAAUAUAUAGAAGCACAUACAUCACAUGAAGGUCAAUAGAAUUACGAUACAAUCGUGUCUUGCACACUACAUCAUCCAACAAAGUCUAGGCAUACAACCUUGUCUUACACAUUACAUUAUCCAACAUAGUCACGCCUACCAAAAGCUUACAUGAAUGCACACUAGCAAGCAAUAUAAUAGUUUGUGUUUGCUAUACUAAGGUUUGUGCACAUAAUCAUUUUUAGGAACUAUAAAAAGGCAAAAGCACAUCCACCAGGUCCAUAUAGGAACUGAAAAGAGCCAAAAGCACAUCCACUAGGUUAUGUGAUUCAUUUUCCAUACACUCAACUGACAGACUUGUGGCCAGCACUUCCUGAAAAAUGUAACUUGUAAUUAGCCAAGUGGACAAAAAAAUAUAAAGCUGCUAUACAAUACAAGUUUGUAAUCUAUAUCAAUCAUAGUAAAAGGAGAAAAAAAUCCAUCUUUAGAGGAUUUGCUGGUGAUCAAAACACCAGGAGCAGCAAGCAUAAAUAGCAAUCAGGAUGUAUAGCAAACAAGAAUAUAGACCAAUAAGUGGCUAACAAGUUGUUGCCCAUAACGAAGCUAUCUACAGACUUAGCAACUUAGUUGUAACCAACCAGCAGCCAAACAUCAAUCUUGCAUCAACAA